AUUGAACGCUGGCGGCAUGCCUUACACAUGCAAGUCGAACGGUAACGGGCCUUCGGGUGCCGACGAGUGGCGGACGGGUGAGUAAUACAUCGGAACGUGCCCGAUCGUGGGGGAUAACGAGGCGAAAGCUUUGCUAAUACCGCAUAGGAUAUACGGAUGAAAGCCGGGGAGGGCAAGGGCUUGCGCGGACGGAGCGGCAGAGGGCAGAUUAGGUAGAUGGUGGGGUAAACGCUUAGCAAGCCGACGAGCUGUAGCUGGACUGGGAGGCUGAUGAGCCACACUGGGACUUAGACACGCCCCAGACUCCUACGGGAGGCAGCAGUGGGGAAUUUUGGACAAUGGGCGCAAGCCUUAUCCAGCCAUGCGGCGUGCAGGAUGAAGGCCUUCGGGUUGUAAACUGCUUUUGUACGGAACGAAAAGCCUUCUUUUAAUACAGGGGGGUCAUGACGGUACCGGAAGAAUAAGCACCGGCUAACUACGUG
RNAcentral lists this ribosomal RNA (482 nucleotides) under uncultured bacterium. RNAcentral describes it as "partial 16S ribosomal RNA". It matches the Rfam family "Bacterial small subunit ribosomal RNA", at positions 29 to 507 of the family's 1533-position model. The record is from RNAcentral.